UACGAAGGGGGCUAGCGUUGCUCGGAAUCACUGGGCGUAAAGGGUGCGUAGGCGGGGCUUUAAGUCAGAGGUGAAAUCCUGGAGCUCAACUCCAGAACUGCCUUUGAUACUGAGGAUCUUGAGUUCGAGAGAGGUGAGUGGAAUUCCCAGUGUAGAGGUGAAAUUCGUAGAUAUUGGGAAGAACACCGGUGGCGAAGGCGGCUCACUGGCUCGUAACUGACGCUCAUGCACGACAGCGUGGGGAUCAAACAGG
RNAcentral lists this ribosomal RNA (253 nucleotides) under uncultured bacterium. RNAcentral's name for it is "partial 16S ribosomal RNA". It matches the Rfam family "Bacterial small subunit ribosomal RNA", at positions 524 to 776 of the family's 1533-position model. The record is from RNAcentral.